UCCAGCCUCAGCCUUCUCAGUAGCUGUGGAUUACAGACAUGUGCCACCAUGACCAACUCCAUAGGAACUCCAAGAUUGAACAGCAGGAUGAUUAAUGCCCACAAGGGGGAAUGGGACAAGACUCCCAGAAGAUAUGAGCCUUUCUCAGUUGCAUAUGGAGGAUAGGGACCAGAUGACCUGAAGUGACAGACCUAUGAAGUGGUGGCUGAGGAACCCUUUGAGUGAUAAUAGCUGAUGACAAGAGUGGCAGUGCCUAUACUUGGAGCAGAGAGAUAUAUCAAGGAUAGAUGCACAAGGAGCAAAAACCAGCCAAGAAAAUCCUGCUUCAGGAAAGAGAAAACCAGAGUUUCUAGGAAUAAAUGACAACUAGAAGAGAAAGAAGGGAUGGACCCAUGGAGGUGAUUUCAAGACAAAUUAAAAAAAUAAUCAAAGGUGAAUGUAAAAGGGAGUAAUGUACUGCAUAAUCAGAGGCAUAGGAAUGAAUGUCUGUCUUGAGGAAAUGCUUCCAUCCUCUCUAUCACCUGGAGGAAUGGCUAUUUCUAUGAGUGAGUCACAACAGUAAAAACAAAACAAAAUAAAAAUGGGGUAGGUAGAAAGAUCUACAAGGCAACAAGAAGAAGAACCACAAAAACCUGUUUAGAAGAGAAAACUCAAUGUUAGUACUCUGGAAGAUUUCAUUCCUUGAGGAAUACAAAUUGUAGAAGGAAUAAAUAAGUAUAAGAGACAU
This is a long non-coding RNA of Phascolarctos cinereus (koala), 727 nucleotides long. RefSeq lists it as uncharacterized. The record is from RefSeq and is a predicted model, not a curated record. NCBI's taxonomy places the organism in Eukaryota, Metazoa, Chordata, Mammalia, Diprotodontia, Phascolarctidae.